This 73-nucleotide transfer RNA is filed under the name Pteropus alecto (black flying fox). It matches the Rfam family "tRNA". From Rfam's summary of the family: Transfer RNA (tRNA) molecules are approximately 80 nucleotides in length. Their secondary structure includes four short double-helical elements and three loops (D, anti-codon, and T loops). Further hydrogen bonds mediate the characteristic L-shaped molecular structure. tRNAs have two regions of fundamental functional importance: the anti-codon, which is responsible for specific mRNA codon recognition, and the 3' end, to which the tRNAs corresponding amino acid is attached (by aminoacyl-tRNA synthetases). tRNAs cope with the degeneracy of the genetic code in two manners: having more than one tRNA (with a specific anti-codon) for a particular amino acid; and 'wobble' base-pairing, i.e. permitting non-standard base-pairing at the 3rd anti-codon position. Lineage: Eukaryota; Metazoa; Chordata; Mammalia; Chiroptera; Pteropodidae. The record is from Rfam by way of RNAcentral.
AGUUCCAUAGUGUAGCGGUUAGCACAUCUGCUUUACAUGCAGAAGGGCCUGGGUUCGCGCCCCCAUGGAGCCA